UUGAACGCUGGCGGCGUGCUUUACACAUGCAAGUCGAGCGGCAGCAUGGGGGCAACCCUGAUGGCGAGCGGCGAACGGGUGAGUAAUACAUCGGAACGUGCCUAAUAGUGGGGGAUAGCCUAUCGAAAGAUGGAUUAAUACCGCAUAAUCUCUGAGGAGGAAAGCUGGGGACCGCAAGGCCUGGCGCUAAAUGAGCGGCCGAUGGCCGAUUAGCUUGUUGGUGGGGUAAAGGCCUACCAAGGCUAUGGUCGGUAGCGGUUCUGAGAGGAAGAUCAGCCACACUGGGACUGAGACACGUCCCAGACUCCUACGGGAGGCAGCAGUGGGGAAUUUUGGACAAUGGGGGCAACCCUGAUCCAGCAACGCCGCGUGAAUGAAGAAGGCCUUAGGGUUGUAAAGUUCUGUUGUCUGGGAGCAAAACGAUUAUGCUAAUACCAUAAUUGGAUGAGAGUACCAGAAGAAUGAGCACCGGCUAACUACGU
RNAcentral lists this ribosomal RNA (482 nucleotides) under uncultured bacterium. RNAcentral's name for it is "bacterial SSU rRNA". It matches the Rfam family "Bacterial small subunit ribosomal RNA", at positions 30 to 506 of the family's 1533-position model. The record is from RNAcentral.